This 376-nucleotide unclassified non-coding RNA is filed under the name soil metagenome. RNAcentral's name for it is "partial contains 5.8S ribosomal RNA, internal transcribed spacer 2, and large subunit ribosomal RNA". The stretch from base 1 to 120 matches the Rfam family "5.8S ribosomal RNA", at positions 35 to 154 of the family's 154-position model. The record is from RNAcentral.
GAUGAAGAACGCAGCGAAAUGCGAUAAGUAAUGUGAAUUGCAGAAUUCAGUGAAUCAUCGAAUCUUUGAACGCAUCUUGCGCUCCUUGGUAUUCUGAGGAGCAUGCCUGUUUGAGUGUCAUUAAAUUCUCAACUACACUGACUUUGAAUUGGUGUGGCUUGGAUUUGGGGGGAAAAUUGUUGUGGGCUUUUUGUAUAGUCUGCUCCCCUGAAAUUGAUUAGCGGUACCUUUGUGGAACUGUCUACAGGUGUGACAAUUAUCUACAUCUUAGACAUCUGCUGGAAUGCUGCUUUCUAAACCUUACUUGUAUUGACAAUCUUGACCUCAAAUCAGGUAGGACUACCCGCUGAACUUAAGCAUAUCAAUAAGCGGAGGA